GACGAACGCUGGCGGCGUGCCUAAUACAUGCAAGUCGAACGCUUCUUUUUCACCGAACUUCGGUUCAUCGAAAAAGAGGAGUGGCGAACGGGUGAGUAACACGUGGGUAACCUGCCCAUCAGAAGGGGAUAACACUUGGAAACGGGUGCUAAUACCGUAUAAUGCUUUUUCUCGCAUGAGAGCAAGCUGAAAGGCGCUUUUGCGUCACUGAUGGAUGGACCCGCGGUGCAUUAGCUAGUUGGUGAGGUAACGGCUCACCAAGGCCACGAUGCAUAGCCGACCUGAGAGGGUGAUCGGCCACACUGGGACUGAGACACGGCCCAGACUCCUACGGGAGGCAGCAGUAGGGAAUCUUCGGCAAUGGACGAAAGUCUGACCGAGCAACGCCGCGUGAGUGAAGAAGGUUUUCGGAUCGUAAAAACUCUGUUGUUAGAG
Molecule: ribosomal RNA, 435 nt
Filed under: Enterococcus sp. oral taxon A43
Lineage: Bacteria; Bacillati; Bacillota; Bacilli; Lactobacillales; Enterococcaceae
Description: bacterial SSU rRNA
Rfam family: Bacterial small subunit ribosomal RNA
Source: RNAcentral